This 293-nucleotide unclassified non-coding RNA is filed under the name uncultured fungus. RNAcentral describes it as "partial contains small subunit ribosomal RNA, internal transcribed spacer 1, and 5.8S ribosomal RNA". The stretch from base 1 to 73 matches the Rfam family "Eukaryotic small subunit ribosomal RNA", at positions 1759 to 1831 of the family's 1831-position model. Lineage: Eukaryota; Fungi. The record is from RNAcentral.
UCAAACUUGGUCAUUUAGAGGAAGUAAAAGUCGUAACAAGGUUUCCGUAGGUGAACCUGCGGAAGGAUCAUUACAGAGUACCGGUGCCUCCGGGCGCCCGCUCCCACCACGUGUGAACCCCUUUAACCGUUGCUUUGGCGGGCCGGCGUCCGGCCCUCCGGCCUCCGCCCGGGAGCGCUCGCCAGAGGUCGACCAAAACCCGUCUCGACGUGGAGUCCGAGUCUGAGCUUUAAAUAGAGUCCAAAACUUUCAACGACGGAUCUCUUGGUUCUGGCAUCGAUGAAGAACGCAGC